This is a long non-coding RNA of Rhinolophus ferrumequinum (greater horseshoe bat), 1109 nucleotides long. RefSeq lists it as uncharacterized. The transcript has 5 exons. The record is from RefSeq and is a predicted model, not a curated record. Lineage: Eukaryota; Metazoa; Chordata; Mammalia; Chiroptera; Rhinolophidae.
AGCCCAUAGACCCAUGGUUAUAAUAGAGAUUGAGACGUGCUUGGUUCAUCCCACCCCGCAAAAGCAAACUUGGGGCCAUGGGGAAAAUAAGCUGGUUCUAGCAGUUUGGGAUAAUAGUUCUGGAUCUGUUUGGAAUGGCUCGGUGACCUUGACAAGCCACCAAUAUCAAAUUAAUUUUCACAUGAAGAUACAUCUGUCCCAGAGUUGAACAAGCCCCUGGAGCCAGAAGACUCUGAAGGGUUGGUCUUAAAGAAUAAGCUUCGUCUCCUUUUCCCUGUCUACCUGUGGAAUCAGAAGAAACUGCAUCAAAGAUCCUACAUCUCCUCAGGUUGGAGAGUCUGAAGAGUAACCUGGUCAAAUGCAGGAUGUUUAUUCAGUUUUCAAUGUCUCAUUGGGCCUGUUUGAUGAAAAGAUCUGGCAUUAGAGCAACAAUUACUUUAAUGAGAAGAGAUAAUGAAGCUCUCCUAAAGCAGACUCACCGUACCUUCAAUGUCUUCAAGAAAUGUUGACUUCCCGUCAAGAUGGCAGAAUAGGUAAAUGCUGUGUUCACCUCCUCCCACUACCACAUCAAAAUUGCAACUAAAUUAUAGAACAACCAUCACUGAGAAACACUUGAAGACUCGCUUAACAGAAGUCCUACAACUAAAGAUAUAAAGAAGACACGACUGGUAGGUGAGGCAGAAGCAGACCGGGUAGUUACCACACCCACGAUGUGGAUUAAGAAUCAUGAGGGAUAUCUGAGCUGCAGAGGUCCCCACACGGGGCUCCUCAGCUCAGGGAACCAGUGCUGGAAAGAGGCAUCUUCAAAGAAGCUGGCUGUAAAAACCAGCAAAGAUUGCAUCAGAGACGGAGGGCUGCUGGAGAGAUAGACGUCCUCUUAAAGUUCCAGCACACAGGCUCACUGUCUCUGGGCUUUAGCACAGGGGCAGCAGCUCAAAAGAUGCUAGGGACAUCCUAAGUGUCCUCAAACACAAGUAGAUAAGAGAGAAGCGGUACAUAUAUACAAUGGAAUAUUACUUAGCUAUAACAAAAAGAAGAAAAUCUUGCCACUUGCGACAAUAUGGAUGGACCUAGAGGAUGUUAUGCUAAGGGAAAUAAGUCAGAAAGAC